AUACGGAGGAUCCGAGCGUUAUCCGGAUUUAUUGGGUUUAAAGGGUGCGCAGGCGGGAGAUUAAGUCGGCGGUGAAAUUUUGCAGCUCAACUGUAAAAGUGCCUUCGAAACUGGUUUCCUUGAGUGUAGAUGAAGUAGGCGGGAUUUGUGGUGUAGCGGGGAAAUGCAUAGAUAUCACGAGGAACUCCGAUUGCGCAGGCAGCUUACUAAACUACUACUGACGCUCAGGCACGAAGGCGUGGGGAUCAAACAGGAUUAGAUACCCUGGUAGUCCACGCAGUAAACGAUGAUUACUAGCUGUUUGCGAUACAAUGUAAGCGGCUGAGCGAAAGCGUUAAGUAAUCCACCUGAGGAGUACGUUCGCAAGAAUGAAACUUAAAGGAAUUGACGGGG
Molecule: ribosomal RNA, 393 nt
Filed under: uncultured bacterium
Lineage: Bacteria
Description: partial 16S ribosomal RNA
Rfam family: Bacterial small subunit ribosomal RNA
Source: RNAcentral